Molecule: long non-coding RNA, 541 nt
Organism: Macaca mulatta (Rhesus monkey)
Lineage: Eukaryota; Metazoa; Chordata; Mammalia; Primates; Cercopithecidae
Source: RefSeq, a predicted model, not a curated record
GUUUCAAAACAGUGAUGAAAGGAGGUCGUCCUUCCGAGCAGCAUCUUAAGGAUAAUAUCUUUUCUGUCAUUUCCUUCUAAGAGGAAAACAAUAUUUCACAUUCCCCACCUUCAAUAUUCCAGAACCUGUUGAAAGAAGAUGCAAAUCAUCUUGAAAAUAGCAUCAUGGAAAAACACACUGCUAGUUGAAGGCAGAUAUUCUUAUACCUACUGACUGAUUUCAGAUUGCUACUUCAGAGAGAAAGAGCUCCCACUGCCUGCUUACAGCCAACCAGUUAGAGGAAAGGCCCUAAUUAUCCUUCCAAGUUCUGGCACUCAGACUCUAUCUAUUUCUUCUUUUGGCUCCAGACCAAACAAAAUGUGAAAAGAAAAAAAAAAAAAAAAAAGUCAAGAAAAAAUGCAACAGGGCAAUAAUGCUUUUCUGUGUGGCACACGAUCAGAAAAUUACUUCCUCUCUACAAAAUACUGAUGUUAACUUUCUUCCAGUGAUCAGAAGUUUAAGAUUUCAUACAAUGCUUAAUGAAUAAAACCCUAUUCGCAUA